Bubalus bubalis (water buffalo) is the source of this 590-nucleotide long non-coding RNA. RefSeq lists it as uncharacterized. NCBI's taxonomy places the organism in Eukaryota, Metazoa, Chordata, Mammalia, Artiodactyla, Bovidae. The record is from RefSeq and is a predicted model, not a curated record. The transcript is spliced from 3 exons.
CAAAAAGAUAAAGCAUCCCCACGUGGAAACCAAAGAAAAGAACAAGCUUCAUGGCAGUACUAGAAACCAAGGAGAGGCCCUUCCACCAAACCAUCAACACCCUAUGUGGACCCUCAUCCUGCCUCCUGACUCAAAGGACUGUGCUUAGUGAGAGAGUGCGCUUUAUUAAGAAAAAUCUUUUCAUCUGAAAAAAAUUCUUUUUUUUUUUAGACUAGAAAAACUGUACCCCUCAUAACACAGUGGCAGACUCAUUAACUGUCCUCACGGUGAAAGAUUGAUGGGUUUUAACACUGGAUAUACUGCAAUCAAGAUACAACCACUUCCCCCCUACCUUUAGGCAGUAAAUGUUCCUGCCCUGCACCCAUGGCUCCAGGAGGACAUUUACAGCCCUCUUUCCCCUUGUCACAUCUGAGCCUAUAAGAAGAAGACAGACCUGUUCCACUGUUUUUGUGAAAGAGCCAACCAUUGCAGAGGACCAUCCACUGACUCUAAUCUCUACAUGCUCACUGCAUAGAGAUAUCGCUCAUGAAGAUUCAGGAGUGAUUUCUGCACAAAUUCAGCCUAUUGUAUAUGCAGGAAGAGGGAUACUU